CCGAGUUAGGGUCCUUCGUGGCCCGACCUCCCAACCCUGUGUCUAUUUAACCAAUUGUUGCUUCGGCGGACCGGUCUCACGACCGCCGGAGGGGUGUCCAUACCCCUUUGGAGAGCGUCCGUCGAUGGCCCAACUCUAAACUCUUGUACCUAAACGUGUCGUCUAAAUAUUUAUUUGAUACCAAAUCAAAAACA
Molecule: unclassified non-coding RNA, 194 nt
Filed under: uncultured Chaetothyriales
Lineage: Eukaryota; Fungi; Ascomycota; Eurotiomycetes; Chaetothyriales
Description: sequence contains ITS1
Source: RNAcentral